GACGAACGCUGGCGGUAUGCUUCAUACAUGCAAGUCGAACGAUAAGGCCCUUCGGGGUACAUAGGUGGCGGACGGGUGAGUAACACGUAGAAAAUCUGCCUUAAGGAAGGGGACAACAGUUGGAAACGACUGCUAAUACCCUAUAUGAGCUAGACUGAAAUGUCUAUCUUGAAAGUUCCGGCGCCUUAAGAUGAGUCUGCGUCUGAUUAGCUUGUUGGUGGGGUAAUGGCUCACCAAGGCGACGACGGGUAGCCGGCCUGAGAGGGUGACCGGCCACACUGGGACUGAGACACGGCCCAGACUCCUACGGGAGGCAGCAGUGGGGAAUAUUGCACAAUGGGCGAAAGCCUGAUGCAGCAACGCCGCGUGAGGGAUGAAGGCCUUCGGGUUGUAAACCUCUUUUAGUUGGGAAGAAGCGAAAGUGACGGUACCAACAGAAAAAGCACCGGCUAACUACGUGCCAGCCGCCGCAGUAA
RNAcentral lists this ribosomal RNA (476 nucleotides) under uncultured bacterium. Its description in RNAcentral is "partial 16S ribosomal RNA". It matches the Rfam family "Bacterial small subunit ribosomal RNA", at positions 28 to 523 of the family's 1533-position model. The record is from RNAcentral.